This is a long non-coding RNA of Cucumis sativus (cucumber), 1463 nucleotides long. RefSeq lists it as uncharacterized. The transcript is spliced from 2 exons. The record is from RefSeq and is a predicted model, not a curated record. Lineage: Eukaryota; Viridiplantae; Streptophyta; Magnoliopsida; Cucurbitales; Cucurbitaceae.
GGAAUGUAGUGAAUGGUUAGAUAUUGGCAUUACCCAACCCUAAAAUGGUUCACCACGUCACGGAUACAUACACCUCACUUUUCCCUACACUUGUUUAAAACUCCUCACAACACUACGCUGCUCGCUGGGUCCUCUCUUUUCUCUCUUUCCACCAACCCAACCUUUCCCAAAUUUGCAUCUUUUCAUUUGCUAAACCCUAAACAAAACCAAUCUAUUUUUUAGUUUCAAAUAUUUUUAAAAAAUUCAACCAAAUAAACACUUUUAUUGUGAUAACUGAUAAGAAACAUGAAACUAUCCUUUCAAAUUUUCUCACCAACCAACGACUCCAACAAAAAGGGAAUCUCAUCACACCUUUUUGGAUCUGCCCCAAAGGGAAUCGUCAUCGUCCAAGGAAUCCAAUCCCAUCUGCAUUUUAAAUUAUCACCGUCGGAUUCUAUUUCUUGUUUGUCCUCAUCCCAACCCAUUUGGCACCUCCAUUCAUCCGUCUACGCUUCCGACGUGGCUAUUUGCUUUCUUCUUCUCCUCCGCCCAACCACACCUCACAAUUGAGAUGUUAACAAUGGCGUUCCAUGGCUCUGUUAUUUCUGUCUUUUCUAUUUCCUUUCCAUCGUCGGCCUCCGCGUCUCCGCCAUCGCCGUCAUCACUGUAUACCGGUUUUUGUUUCGCUACAACACCAACUACCGUUCCAAUUCACUGCUCCCAGAGUUUAAUUGCACGUAUUGCUCCUUGAAGAGGAAAAGACGACUCGCCAUUCUCCUCUUCAUUUUCCAAUUGAACAGUAGAGCUGAAACUGGUAUAUAAUUCUCUCAUAAGCAGUAGCAAGUGAAAGAACAUCUAUGGAGUUCAUCAGCAUUUGAAGAAAGUGCCUAGGUAUUAGUAAGACUGUCAAACUUUUUGGAAUGAAAUGAGAUGUGUUUCUGUUCAAUCAUUUGUGGCUAGUCUAAUUUCAAAGGAACUUUUUUUGACUUCCAUAGACCUAAACAAGCACAAAUCUCCAUUUAGUUAUCUAUGUGAUGAAAACCCAGUUGGGAUCUCACUCAAAAGUUUUCUAUGACCCAGUCUCUCUGGGGCCAUUGCAAGGAUUCAAUAAUGAAGAAUCCAACGUGAGAGAAAAGGAAGUGUGGGCAGGGGACCCUUCGUUGCUGUGGACCAGAUUAAGACCCUUUGUUGAUGGAGAGAAGACUCUGGUAACAUGCUUCUUGGAUUAUUGCAGGUGAGGGAGUUAGAGAAGAUUCUGGUAAGAUGCCACAUUUGAAAAUUGAAUUAUUGAAGAUAGAGAGAGUUGGGGGUAUGAACAAUUGUAUGUAAUCAAAAAGUUAUCGUGUGAGCUUAUAAUGCCUGAAGCCUAGGAUUUAUAAUUCAAAUUCAACACUCGAUGUCUAUGACAUUCUUCAACAUUGCUUGUAAAAAUAUUAUUUUUACCUGUGUUGAUGCUUUUAAGAAUUAAGAUUAUUCCCUUAAAA